GGGGCUGUAGCUCAGUGGUAAAGCGCUUGCCUCACAUGUAUGAGGCACUGGGUUUGAUCCUCAGCACCACA
This 71-nucleotide transfer RNA is filed under the name Marmota monax (woodchuck). RNAcentral's name for it is "tRNA.Val". It matches the Rfam family "tRNA". Rfam says of the family: Transfer RNA (tRNA) molecules are approximately 80 nucleotides in length. Their secondary structure includes four short double-helical elements and three loops (D, anti-codon, and T loops). The record is from RNAcentral. Lineage: Eukaryota; Metazoa; Chordata; Mammalia; Rodentia; Sciuridae.